AUUAUUAGGAUUUUCAGGUUGUUAAGAUUAUAUGUGAUUUGUUGAAAGUUUUAUGUGAUUGUUAGAAUUUUCAGAUUGUUAGGAUUAUAUAUGGGAUAUAGAAAGAAGCAGUAAAUAAGUAAAAGACGGUGAAUGAUUUACCACCUAUGAAGCACGGAUACUUCAAAUUUCAUGCCGUACCCGUAUCUGAUACGUAUCGGAUAUCGAUACGCGCCCGAUACAU
Molecule: long non-coding RNA, 223 nt
Filed under: Ananas comosus (pineapple)
Lineage: Eukaryota; Viridiplantae; Streptophyta; Magnoliopsida; Poales; Bromeliaceae
Description: long non-coding RNA (ACOM_LNC037900)
Source: RNAcentral